AACGAACGCUGGCGGCAGGCCUAACACAUGCAAGUCGAGCGGACCCUUCGGGGUUAGCGGCGGACGGGCGUGUAACGCGUGGGAACGUGCCCUUUUCUUCGGCAUAGCCCUGGGAAACUGGGAGUAAUACCGGAUACGCCCUUUUGGGGCAAGAUCUAUCGGCGCAGGAUCGGCCCGCGUUGGAUUAGGUAGUUGGUGGGGUAAUGGCCUACCAACCCGACGAUCCAUAGCUGGUGUGAGAGGAUGAUCAGCCACACUGGGACUGAGACACGGCCCAGACUCCUACGGGAGGCAGCAGUGGGGAAUCUUAGACAAUGGGGGAAACCCUGAUCUAGCCAUGCCGCGUGAGCGAUGAAGGCCUUAGGGUUGUAAAGCUCUUUCACCGGGGAAGAUAAUGACGGUACCCGGAGAAGAAGCCCCGGCUAACUCCGUG
RNAcentral lists this ribosomal RNA (433 nucleotides) under uncultured bacterium. RNAcentral's name for it is "partial 16S ribosomal RNA". It matches the Rfam family "Bacterial small subunit ribosomal RNA", at positions 29 to 507 of the family's 1533-position model. The record is from RNAcentral.